CUCAAAAAUAGGGGUACGGUUGGGGUACAUUUUUGUUCUUUUAGGUACAACUUUUGACCCUGUACCUUAAAGGGAACAAAAUUGAGCCCCUAAAGUACUAAUAUGUACCGUUCCUGGAUCAUUAAUGUACCUUUUCGCAAAGGGACCAUAUUUGUACCUAAGGGUACAAAAAAUACAUGGCCUGUCACUCAAAAGUUGUUGGGGGAGGAGAUUCGGGACGGGAGCAACCGUUAUUUUUUAUUUUUUAUUCCCUUAACUUUGUUCAUUUCACACACCAAGAAAUGGAGCAACUUUCAGUGAGGAGCUUGGUGUGAGAAAACACAUGUGCAGGAUGGAAUAAUCUUUGUGGAAGAGGAGGCAAAGCUAUUCAGAGAUACCCACCAAGGCAGAAUAUGGCCACUUGGAAGUAAGCUUACCUUUCCUAAAGGAUCUAAUGGCUAUUGGAUUACGCAGCUUUCGUUCAUGAAGAUCCGGUGAAAAGGAGUAAGGAGAAGUUUGGGAGAGUCAGCCGGUCCAUGGAACUUGUAAUGACUCAGCGCUGAUCUAUGCCAGAUGUAAAACCCCUGCUGGCAU
Long non-coding RNA from Alosa sapidissima (American shad), 573 nucleotides. RefSeq lists it as uncharacterized. NCBI's taxonomy places the organism in Eukaryota, Metazoa, Chordata, Actinopteri, Clupeiformes, Clupeidae. The record is from RefSeq and is a predicted model, not a curated record. The transcript is spliced from 4 exons.